GUGGAGGUGUGGGGCAUUCUUCCUGAAAUAUUGCUGCAUUCCCUUCAUCAGCUGAUAAGGUUCCUUGUUUGGAGAGCAAACAGGAGAAGUACCUGCUGUAAAUGCUCUGUGGCCCUUGGACGUGCUUAACCUCCUGAGAUAUACAUACACCAAUAUUUGCAAAAUGCUGCACACCAAAGUCUCCACGUCCACUACAAACCAUCAGACAACACACAGCCAGACAUACACACCCUUCCCUCCAGACUGCCGUCACAGCACUCCAAGCACAGCUGUCAAAACGCAGGGACUUCCAACACAACAAUAGUGAGAUGUCUUGGGAGAGCCAGAGAAAGACAGAUUCGGGAGAGGAGGUGUACUGGAUGUUGAACUCACACCUCUGGACACCUCAGAUGCUCUGGAUUGGGGCCGCACAGGCACGGUCCACUGUUAUCUCACAUCAACUCUCAUAACAGCUCUGGGAAGACCUCCCUCAACCUCACGCCUCGCAUUGAUCACCUGAGUCCCACCUGAAGUUUUGAAUGAUCAUCUGAGUCCCACCUGAGGGAGCGGGAAAAGCCGGUAGAGGCCCUGAAUGGCUUCAAUUAAGAGAACAAUUGCUUUAGUCACACAAUUAUGAGCUCAGGGUGACUAAAUGCAAAAGGCCCUGAAGGAGCACGGCUAAAGAUUUCUGGCAUCCCAGUCAAUGUGGUCCGCCCACCCCCCACUGCUCAUUACUGGGACCACCAACUGGGAGCAACAGCACCGUGCUGCAACAGCAAUGAGUGAUUCAGCUUUAACUGACAACCAAAGGGACUCCACUGUUACAGAAAUGAGCAACAAAGGCUACUGAGUGAUGAGAUCAGGGUGAUAAAAUAGAUGGCUUCAUCAGGGAUUGAAGUGACAUCAUUAAACAGCUUUCAAGAACUCCAAAGAAGAAGAAUCACAAUUGAGUCACGAGUCAUAUAUGUAUAUAUAUGUUUUUUGUUUUUUUAUUUCAAUUUUUUUUUUCUCAGUGGUGGAAAACAUCCAAUCCUCUUCUUAAAAGUAAAGA
Molecule: long non-coding RNA, 1030 nt
Organism: Thunnus maccoyii (southern bluefin tuna)
Lineage: Eukaryota; Metazoa; Chordata; Actinopteri; Scombriformes; Scombridae
Exons: 4
Source: RefSeq, a predicted model, not a curated record